This 601-nucleotide ribosomal RNA is filed under the name uncultured bacterium. RNAcentral's name for it is "bacterial SSU rRNA". It matches the Rfam family "Bacterial small subunit ribosomal RNA", at positions 338 to 956 of the family's 1533-position model. The record is from RNAcentral.
UCUACGGGAGGCAGCAGUGGGGAAUAUUGGGCAAUGGAGGAAACUCUGACCCAGCGACGCCGCGUGCGGGAUGAAGGCCUUCGGGUUGUAAACCGCUUUCAGCAGGGAAGAAGCGAAAGUGACGGUACCUGCAGAAGAAGCACCGGCUAACUAUGUGCCAGCAGCCGCGGUAAUACAUAGGGUGCAAGCGUUGUCCGGAAUUAUUGGGCGUAAAGAGCUCGUAGGUGGUUCGUCACGUCGGAUGUGAAAAUCUGGGGCUUAACCCCAGACCUGCAUUCGAUACGGGCGAGCUUGAGUAUGGUAGGGGAGUCUGGAAUUCCUGGUGUAGCGGUGGAAUGCGCAGAUAUCAGGAGGAACACCAAUGGCGAAGGCAGGACUCUGGGCCAUUACUGACACUGAGGAGCGAAAGCGUGGGGAGCGAACAGGAUUAGGAUACCCUGGUAGUCCACGCCGUAAACGGUGGGCACUAGUUGUGGGGACCUUCCACGGUCUCUGCGACGCAGCUAACGCAUUAAGUGCCCCGCCUGGGGAGUACGAUCGCAAGNUUAAAACUCAAAUGAAUUGACCGGNUGAGACGNGCGAGACGACGACGAGGGAGAGG